This 428-nucleotide unclassified non-coding RNA is filed under the name Hevea brasiliensis (rubber tree). Lineage: Eukaryota; Viridiplantae; Streptophyta; Magnoliopsida; Malpighiales; Euphorbiaceae. The record is from RNAcentral.
GUUUCAAAUCGCACUGCGACCCGCUAACUGAGUCUAAGCUCUGAGACUGAGAGAGACUCUACAGAACUAUUUCUAUGAAGCUUUUCACUUCGCACUAGUUUCUUCCAGUUAUUGCCUUGAAAACUUCAGGAGAUACUCUCUAAAACCCUAGAAUUCUGAAUCCAGGGGUUUGCAUACUGAUACCUACGUUUUUGUAUGUACACCAUUUAUCUUUAGGUUGAAAGCUAGGGUUUUUGGGGUUUUGAAUUUAAGCAUCAGAAAUGGAGGCGGCAGUGAUAGACGCUGGAUCCAAGCUCCUUAAAGCGGGAACUGCAGUUCCAGAUCAGGCUCCACCCAUUAUUAUUCCUACCCAAAUGAAACGCAUGCUUGAAGAUGGUUCAUCAACUGAUGGUUCAUUAUUUGAGGAUGUCAAUGUUGAUCCAGUUUUU